CACGAGUUUGAUCAUGGCUCAGAACGAACGCUGGCGGCAUGCCUAACACAUGCAAGUCGAACGAGACCUUCGGGUCUAGUGGCGCACGGGUGCGUAACGCGUGGGAACCUGCCUUUAGGUUCGGAAUAACUCAGAGAAAUUUGAGCUAAUACCGGAUGAUGUCUUCGGACCAAAGAUUUAUCGCCUUUAGAUGGGCCCGCGUUGGAUUAGCUAGUUGGUGGGGUAAAGGCCUACCAAGGCGACGAUCCAUAGCUGGUCUGAGAGGAUGAUCAGCCACACUGGGACUGAGACACAGCCCAGACUCCUACGGGAGGCAGCAGUGGGGAAUAUUGGACAAUGGGCGAAAGCCUGAUCCAGCAAUGCCGCGUGAGUGAUGAAGGCCUUAGGGUUGUAAAGCUCUUUUACCCGAGAUGAUAAUGACAGUAUCGGGAGAAUAAGCUCCGGCUAACUCCGUG
This 455-nucleotide ribosomal RNA is filed under the name uncultured bacterium. Its description in RNAcentral is "bacterial SSU rRNA". It matches the Rfam family "Bacterial small subunit ribosomal RNA", at positions 1 to 507 of the family's 1533-position model. The record is from RNAcentral.